AACGAACGCUGGCGGCAUGCCUAACACAUGCAAGUCGAACGAGAUCUUCGGGUCUAGUGGCGCACGGGUGCGUAACGCGUGGGAAUCUGCCCUUUGGUUCGGAAUAACAGUUGGAAACGACUGCUAAUACCGGAUGAUGACGAAAGUCCAAAGAUUUAUCGCCAGAGGAUGAGCCCGCGUAGGAUUAGCUAGUUGGUGUGGUAAAGGCGCACCAAGGCGACGAUCCUUAGCUGGUCUGAGAGGAUGAUCAGCCACACUGGGACUGAGACACGGCCCAGACUCCUACGGGAGGCAGCGGUGGGGAAUAUUGGACAAUGGGCGAAAGCCUGAUCCAGCAAUGCCGCGUGAGUGAUGAAGGCCUUAGGGUUGUAAAGCUCUUUUACCCGGGAUGAUAAUGACAGUACCGGGAGAAUAAGCUCCGGCUGACUCCGUGCCAGCCGCCGCGGUAA
Molecule: ribosomal RNA, 449 nt
Filed under: uncultured bacterium
Lineage: Bacteria
Description: partial 16S ribosomal RNA
Rfam family: Bacterial small subunit ribosomal RNA
Source: RNAcentral